This is a long non-coding RNA of Hordeum vulgare subsp. vulgare (domesticated barley), 299 nucleotides long. RefSeq lists it as uncharacterized. The record is from RefSeq and is a predicted model, not a curated record. The transcript is spliced from 2 exons. NCBI's taxonomy places the organism in Eukaryota, Viridiplantae, Streptophyta, Magnoliopsida, Poales, Poaceae.
CCGGGCCGUUUCCUUUACUUCAUAUUUUGUUUCUUCUGGUUUGCUUAUAAGAUAGUGAGGAGAGGAAGAACGCUGCUUUGUUUGACGAGUAACAAGAAAGGAAACAAAACAAAACCUCAUCGACCCGGCAGUUUACUCUGUUUGAGCUGGAAUUUAUUUAUUUAUAUCUGUGUAAACAACCACAGGCAGAAUGUCCUUAGAGCUUGCUCCUUCCUUGACUUGUUGUCUAAUUAUGAUUAUGAUGGCUUGUUGUACUUGAGAAAUACUACUACUUGGCCGAAAUGAUCACUGUUGGUGUU